UUAAGUUCAGCGGGUAUUCCUACCUGAUCCGAGGUCAACCAGAAAAAAUUGGGGGUUUAACGGCCGGGGGGGCAGCACCUAACAAAAGCGAGAUAAAGAAUUACUACGCUCAGAGGACUACUGCCACUCCGCCAAUCGCAUUAGGGAACUACGGAGGCCGUAGAGUCCCAACAGUAAGCUGUGCUUAGGGGUUGAAAUGA
RNAcentral lists this unclassified non-coding RNA (200 nucleotides) under Nigrospora sp. RNAcentral's name for it is "partial internal transcribed spacer 2". Lineage: Eukaryota; Fungi; Ascomycota; Sordariomycetes; Amphisphaeriales; Apiosporaceae. The record is from RNAcentral.